This 274-nucleotide ribosomal RNA is filed under the name uncultured bacterium. RNAcentral describes it as "partial 16S ribosomal RNA". It matches the Rfam family "Bacterial small subunit ribosomal RNA", at positions 523 to 796 of the family's 1533-position model. The record is from RNAcentral.
AUACGGCGGGUCCGAGCGUUAUCCGGAAUCAUUGGGUUUAAAGGGUCCGUAGGCGGGAAUCUAAGUCAGUGGUGAAAUCUUGCAGCUCAACUGUAAAAUUGCCAUUGAUACUGGAUUUCUUGAAUUAGUGUGAAGUGGUUAGAAUGUGUAGUGUAGCGGUGAAAUGCAUAGAUAUUACACAGAAUACCAAUUGCGAAGGCAGAUCACUAACACUAUAUUGACGCUAAGGGACGAAAGCGUGGGGAGCGAACAGGAUUAGAUACCCGAGUAGUCC